RNAcentral lists this ribosomal RNA (255 nucleotides) under uncultured bacterium. RNAcentral describes it as "partial 16S ribosomal RNA". It matches the Rfam family "Bacterial small subunit ribosomal RNA", at positions 524 to 776 of the family's 1533-position model. The record is from RNAcentral.
UACGUAGGGUGCGAGCGUUGUCCGGAAUUUAUUGGGCGUAAAGAGCUUGUAGGCGGUUUGUCGCGUCUGCUGUGAAAAUCCGGGGCUCAACCCCGGACUUGCAGUGGGUACGGGCAGACUAGAGUGUGGUAGGGGAGACUGGAAUUCCUGGUGUAGCGGUGAAAUGCGCAGAUAUCAGGAGGAACACCGAUGGCGAAGGCAGGUCUCUGGGCCACUACUGACGCUGAGAAGCGAAAGCAUGGGGAGCGAAACAGG